UCCUGCCCCUUGAGAGCCUCUCCCAGCCCUGGGUGCUCAGCAGGAUCUGCUCCUCCCUGUGGCUCUGUUGCCUUCCUGGGUAGAAGCUCUGACCCAAGGGCUGGGGACUGAUCCUUCUCAGGUCUCUACACACACGGAUCACCAAAGCUGAAGACACUGCAGAACCACCUGGGAGAUAUUGUGCACCGCACCCUCCCGGCUCUCGAGCAACACCUGGAGCAGCAGGGACUCAACCUCCAGGACUGCACGGCACACUGGUUUACUCAGUGUUUUCUGGAUGUGGCUCCAUUCCCCCUGGCG
Ochotona princeps (American pika) is the source of this 300-nucleotide long non-coding RNA. RefSeq lists it as uncharacterized. The record is from RefSeq and is a predicted model, not a curated record. The transcript is spliced from 3 exons. Lineage: Eukaryota; Metazoa; Chordata; Mammalia; Lagomorpha; Ochotonidae.